UCCGCGUCCAGCGCGUCGUCAGAUCUGACCCCAGACCCAGAGGCUGAGGCAGGUCACGCUGGAGGUCCUCACGCGCCAUACGCGCUAACAGAUCCCCCGUUUUCUUUUGAAAGAAAGACUUGAGGGAGAGUCAGGUCAACUCAAUCCAGAUCUCGUUGGGUUCAUUUAUAUGCACCUUCGGCUAUCACCGAAACCAUUCAUCUCACAAGCCUCGGCCCCAUUUCGCUGUUCCCUUCCCAGCAUCUAUAGCAGCAUACCUCAAGUGUUGGAUCUUCUCCAGAAAUGAAUACCGAAGAUGACAAGCAGACUGUUCUAAGCACGUUACCCAAGGACCUACCUCUAGACUUCUUGAAGACCAUCACAGAUCAGUUCUCAGACAACCGUGUUAUCGGUAAAGGUGCAUUUGGAACAGUUUAUACGGGAACUAUGCCUGAUGGGCAAACGAUUGCUGUGAAGAAGCUUGCAGAAAAUGCGCCGAUUGCACGUGACAAAAUAUUUAAUAACGAAGUUCAAAACAUCAUGGCUUACCGACAUGAAAAUAUAGUCAAGUUGGUUGGGUUUUGCCAUGAAGGACAGAAGAAAGUAGUUCUAAACAAUGGGCGAUAUAUUGUCGCAGAUGUUUACGAAGGUCUACUCUGUUACGAAUAUUUACCUAAGGGAAGCCUCCAGAAGAACCUCUUUGACAAACCCAUCAACAUGGCUUGGGACACGCGUUUCAAAAUAAUUAAGGGGAUCUGCGAUGGUUUACUUUUCCUUCAUAGGAUUCCUAUUAUCCACAUGGAUUUGAAGCCUCAAAAUAUAUUGUUGGCCAAUAACAUGACGCCGAAAAUCGCGGACUUUGGACUUUCCAGGCUAUUUGGCCAAGAACAAACACGGGCGAACACACAGAAUGUUGUGGGAUCAUACGGAUACAUAGCUCCAGAAUACCUAUACAGAGGUGAAAUCUCCACUCAGUCCGACAUAUACAGUUUAGGCCUAUUAAUCAUCGAGACUACCACUGGCGAGAAGAAUACCCCCAAACAGAACGAACCAUCAGCAAGGGAAUUUAUUGAAAGAGUACGUCAAAAUUGGACAAAAAGGCACAUAGCGUCCAUAUACAAGUUAAAUCCAAAUGCCCUGCAGGAAGUAACAGUAUGCAUUGAAAUUGGUCUAGAGUGUGUGGACAUUGAUCGGAAGAAGAGACCUUCCAUCGAAAGCAUUGUUGAGAGGCUCGGUAGAUGCUGUGCAAACCUGGUCUCCACCACUUCCAUGCGAACAUGAAACUGGGAUCUUCUAUUGAUGAAAGAAGCAACAUGCAAGAAAAGAGCUUUCUCUGUUAUUACUAUAAUGAAUUUAUUUCUGAAAUAAUCAGUUGUGUUGUCACGUCACCAUGGAACUUGUUAAAUUUAUUAUGGGAUUUUCUCUUCACCUCGAGGAGCAUUGUCCGUCCCGUUGCCAUUGCCAUCGUUGUUCAACUACC
This is an RNA transcript of Triticum aestivum (bread wheat), 1459 nucleotides long. It is a transcript of the gene named cysteine-rich receptor-like protein kinase 40, with no coding region annotated. NCBI's taxonomy places the organism in Eukaryota, Viridiplantae, Streptophyta, Magnoliopsida, Poales, Poaceae. The transcript has 8 exons. The record is from RefSeq and is a predicted model, not a curated record.